RNAcentral lists this unclassified non-coding RNA (400 nucleotides) under Hevea brasiliensis (rubber tree). Lineage: Eukaryota; Viridiplantae; Streptophyta; Magnoliopsida; Malpighiales; Euphorbiaceae. The record is from RNAcentral.
CCUCCGACAACGUCACUGGUUCAUCCAGAGCACAUGUGCCACAUCUGGUGAAGGACUGUAUGAAGGACUUGACUGGCUCUCAAACAAUAUUGCCAACAAGGCGUAGAUGGGGUUUCCUUUGAGCUGGGAUUGGUUCUGGAAAUUCAUAUUGAUGUCAUUUGUCCAUUGUUUACGGGCAUUUUUGUUGGAUUACCUGAUCUAUACGAUGUUCCUAGUGGAUGAUUUCUAGGUUGGUGUUGGAUUCUGAAUAAUGAAAGAAAUUUUGAAGUAUUUGUCAUGUUAUAGACUCAAUAGCAUUGUUUUUAUGUAAUGAAUUAAUGAUGGUUCUUAAAAUAGGUGUAUUUGUAUGAGAAUCAUGUUUGUUAUUUGGAAUGGAUUGCUGAAAAGAAUUCACUUUGGG